Molecule: ribosomal RNA, 429 nt
Filed under: Verrucomicrobiota bacterium
Lineage: Bacteria; Pseudomonadati; Verrucomicrobiota
Description: Verrucomicrobia bacterium partial 16S ribosomal RNA
Rfam family: Bacterial small subunit ribosomal RNA
Source: RNAcentral
UAGGGAAUCUUCCGCAAUGGACGAAAGUCUGACGGAGCAACGCCGCGUGAGAGAAGAAGGAUUUCGGUUCGCAAAACUCCGUAGUUAGGGAAGAAAAAAUGUAUAGUAACUAUAUACUAACGAGUCGGUACCUAACCAGAAAGUCACGGCUAACUACGUGCCAGCAGUCGCGGUAAUACGUUGGUGGUAAGCGUUGUCCGGAAUUAUUGGGCGUAAAGCGCGCGUAGGUGGUUUAGAAAGUCUGAUGUGAAGGCCCACGGCUCAACCGUGGAGGGUCAUUGGAAACUAAUAAACUGGGGUGCAGGGGAGAAAAGUGGAAUUCCUUGUGGUGCGGUGAAAUGCGUAGAGAUUAGGAGGAACGCCGGUGGCGAAAGCGGCUUUUUGGCCUGCAACUGACACUAAGGCGCGAAAGCGUGGGGAGCAAACCGG